UUAAAGAUGCUUGAUAAAUUAUUAGG
This 26-nucleotide non-coding RNA is filed under the name Homo sapiens (human). Lineage: Eukaryota; Metazoa; Chordata; Mammalia; Primates; Hominidae. The record is from RNAcentral.